This 473-nucleotide ribosomal RNA is filed under the name uncultured bacterium. RNAcentral's name for it is "bacterial SSU rRNA". It matches the Rfam family "Bacterial small subunit ribosomal RNA", at positions 335 to 801 of the family's 1533-position model. The record is from RNAcentral.
ACUCCUACGGGAGGCAGCAGUGGGAAUAUUGCACAAUGGGCGCAAGCCUGAUGCAGCCAUGCCGCGUGUAUGAAGAAGGCCUUCGGGUUGUAAAGUACUUUCAGCAGUGAGGAAGGUGGGUAUGUUAAUAGCAUACUCAUUUGACGUUAGCUGCAGAAGAAGCACCGGCUAACUCCGUGCCAGCAGCCGCGGUAAUACGGAGGGUGCAAGCGUUGUCCGGAUUUAUUUGGGUUUUAAAGGGUGCGUGGCGGGCUAUUAAGUCAGUGGUGAAAUCCAGCAGCUUAACUGUUGAUGUGCCAUUGAUACUGGUAGUCUUGAGUACAGAUGAGGUAGGCGGAAUUGACAGUGUAGCGGUGAAAUGCAUAGAUAUUGUCAAGAACUCCGAUAGCGAAGGCAGCUUACUGGGCUGUAACUGACGCUGAUGCACGAAAGUGUGGGGAUCAAACAGGAUUAGAUACCCGGUAGGCACUGCU